AGGAGGAGCUUGCUUCUCUGGAUGAGUUGCGAACGGGUGAGUAACGCGUAGGUAACCUGCCUGGUAGCGGGGGAUAACUAUUGGAAACGAUAGCUAAUACCGCAUAACAGUAGAUGUUGCAUGACAUUUGCUUAAAAGGUGCAAUUGCAUCACUACCAGAUGGACCUGCGUUGUAUUAGCUAGUUGGUGGGGUAACGGCUCACCAAGGCGACGAUACAUAGCCGACCUGAGAGGGUGAUCGGCCACACUGGGACUGAGACACGGCCCAGACUCCUACGGGAGGCAGCAGUAGGGAAUCUUCGGCAAUGGACGGAAGUCUGACCGAGCAACGCCGCGUGAGUGAAGAAGGUUUUCGGAUCGUAAAGCUCUGUUGUAAGAGAAGAACGAGUGUGAGAGUGGAAAGUUCACACUGUGACGGUAUCUUACCAGAAAGGGACGGCUAACUACGUGCCAGCAGCCGCGGUAAUACGUAGGUCCCGAGCGUUGUCCGGAUUUAUUGGGCGUAAAGCGAGCGCAGGCGGUUAGAUAAGUCUGAAGUUAAAGGCUGUGGCUUAACCAUAGUACGCUUUGGAAACUGUUUAACUUGAGUGCAA
RNAcentral lists this ribosomal RNA (593 nucleotides) under uncultured Bacilli bacterium. Its description in RNAcentral is "bacterial SSU rRNA". It matches the Rfam family "Bacterial small subunit ribosomal RNA", at positions 71 to 651 of the family's 1533-position model. Lineage: Bacteria; Bacillati; Bacillota; Bacilli. The record is from RNAcentral.